This 24-nucleotide small RNA is filed under the name Brassica napus (rape). RNAcentral's name for it is "PsRNA_33". Lineage: Eukaryota; Viridiplantae; Streptophyta; Magnoliopsida; Brassicales; Brassicaceae. The record is from RNAcentral.
AGGAAUUGAGAUCAUGUUUGGUAC